GACGAACGCUGGCGGCGUGCCUAAUACAUGCAAGUCGAACGCAGUGGGGACGGGUGAGUAACACCUGGGUAACCUCCCAUCAGAGGGGAUAACACUUGGAAACAGGUGCUAAACCGAUACUGAUGGAUGGACCCGCGGUGCAUUAGCUAGUUGGUGAGGUAACGGCUCACCAAGGCCACGAUGCAUAGACGAACUGAGAGGGUGAUGGGAGAAACUGGGACUGAGAAACGGCCCAGACUCCUACGGGAGGCAGCAGUAGGAAAUCUUCGGCAAUGGACGAAAGGCUGAACGAGCAACGCGGCGUGAGUGAAGAAGGUUUUCGGAUCGUAAAACUCUGUAGUUAGAGAAGCGGUAUCUAACCAGAAAGCCACGGCUAACUACGUGCCAGCCGCCGCGGUAAUUC
This 403-nucleotide ribosomal RNA is filed under the name uncultured bacterium. RNAcentral's name for it is "partial 16S ribosomal RNA". It matches the Rfam family "Bacterial small subunit ribosomal RNA", at positions 28 to 526 of the family's 1533-position model. The record is from RNAcentral.